Molecule: ribosomal RNA, 301 nt
Filed under: uncultured bacterium
Lineage: Bacteria
Description: partial 16S ribosomal RNA
Rfam family: Bacterial small subunit ribosomal RNA
Source: RNAcentral
CAGUAGCCGCGGGAAUACGUAGGGUGCAAGCGUUAAUCGGAAUUACUGGGCGUAAAGCGUGCGCAGGCGGUGUUGUAAGACUGAUGUGAAAUCCCCGGGCUCAACCUGGGAACUGCAUUGGUGACUGCAACGCUGGAGUGCGGCAGAGGGGGGUGGAAUUCCACGUGUAGCAGUGAAAUGCGUAGAUAUGUGGAGGAACACCGAUGGCGAAGGCAGCCCCCUGGGAUAACACUGACGCUCAUGCACGAAAGCGUGGGGAGCAAACAGGAUUAGAUACCCCAGUAGUCCCUGUCUCUUAUAA